AUUAAUCAGAACAUGAGUGGGUAAAAAGAAGUGAUCAAGGGCACAACUUGCCUGGGACUCGAGAUUCCAGGUACCAGGAUGAUCUUCAGAUGACUCGUAACCUCGCUCUAGUUGUAGCAAUACAAAUAAACAGUGUAUAUGCAAAAUUAACAUUACACCAAACAUAUAUGCAAAAUACAUAUUAAUAAUCUACCUAUUGAAAUAAAAUUCUAGGAACAGGAAUCACAAUUUUUGGAGUUAUAGAUUUUAAGUUAUGAAUUUCUUAAGAUUUUAUGUAUUUUGUACAAGAUUAAAUAGAGUACAAAUUUUAAUGUGUAUUUCAUGUGAAAUAGUGGUACUAGAUGAUAAACCAUAAUAUUACAAAAUUAUAGGAACUGGAACGAGUCAAAAAGGAGUUAAAAUGUAUUUUCUAGGAAUUAAAGAAGUUUCUGGGAUUAAUUUUGCACUAUUAAUCAUUUUCUAAAUGAAUUUCCAUAGUUUAUUCCCUGACUGGACUGCGCACCAAAAACUAGAAAGUGCAGGGGCUAAUCUAUAAAUCUUCAGCAGACCCAGACCUACCCCGCGGUGGACGGCGGGUUGUUUUUGAAAUAAGUCAGGGUCUCUUUAGCAAGAUUACCAGGCCGAAGGGGUAUCUCCCGAUCUUAGUCAUUGGAUUACACCGACGGUCAGGAUCAGAUCCCGCCUAUUAUGAACCAGCGAGCGUGCAAAACCGUCCGAUCACAAUCCAGCGUCCCAAAUCCGCAGUGGCGAAAGGGGUAUGCGCGAUCUAAUCAUUGCCGUCGACGAUUGAUCUAACGACACACAGAGCUUGCCCCCAAACCGGUACCCGCCUUCAAUCCCAGCCGUUGAAGUUGGGAUCAACGGCCAGCGCACCACUUUUACCCUCCCUUCCAAGACCGGCGGCCGUGUACAGGGCCACGAGCGCGGCGGCGCCAUGGAUGAGGCCACACAUCCAAUGACCCCGAUGCGCUAAACUCCGUUCCAAAGGAUGCUAAACAUAGCGGCGAACCAGGCGAGCAUGAUAGAGUGGACUCACCGAUGGAUUGCGUAGUGCUUUUCUCUGUCUUCGUUGCACGGCGGAGAUCCGGCGGAGCGAUACGACGGCGAGGAAUUGGAGCAAAACCGGCAGUUGAUCACGAGUAGCGCGGCCCCACACGUCCUUCCCAGAACUUGAGGAAAGUCCCCGAGCACUUCACGGGGCAGACGACUGCGCGGCAGGGGAUUUCCCCCCCACGGCGGAGCACAACCCCUCUCCUCUCGGUUCCCUCCCAUGACGCCGGUGGCAGUGGCCAAGUAGUUCUCGUGAUUGAGGGCUAAAGGUCAGCGAUCUGCGCAGGGAUUUAUUCCCCCUCGGGCGGAAGCCGGUUAUCCAGCUCCGAGCAGGUCAGGCGCCCGAGGAUUCCGUGCGCGCGCAGGAGAAAUCGCUAUUUCUGUUGAGGAAGAUGGAG
Molecule: long non-coding RNA, 1448 nt
Filed under: Zea mays
Lineage: Eukaryota; Viridiplantae; Streptophyta; Magnoliopsida; Poales; Poaceae
Description: long non-coding RNA (ZMAY_LNC003415)
Source: RNAcentral